GAAACCCGUGGAGGAAGGAACUUCGAACGGGUGCUCUUCCACCGAAACUCAAAGGACAUUCGCUCGAAUAAUUUUACUUCCUCCGUCGUAUGAAUUCGUACGAGUUCCCUCGAACCUUGUUACACACAAAAUUAGGAAAACGAAGUAUUGGAUCAUCCUGGCGAUUCCAUGUUCCUAACUUCUAUGGUUGACUUUGUGAUAAAUAGCCUGAACUUCGUCGUUGACAAGUGAGAUCGAUUUCAGUGCCAACGAAAUAUAUUGUCCGUGAAAGUAAUACUUUUGAUAAGAGCGUAAACUUGCUGAAUACAACAGAGUACGAACAUACCGAUGGAUGGAUCAAAGCAUGUUUGUUUAUAACAAGAAAUUUCUAAUCGACAUAUAAUGAUUUGGGUGAAAAAGAUUUCUCUCGCUGGCCAACUGGUCCCAGGUGUGUACACUGGGAGCGUGGCAGACGCGUGCUUCUCCCCUCUUUAACCUCAGCUGAACGCAGUUGCCUUUACAUGCUUUUUCAUUCUUUCUAUGUAUGUAUAUGUUAAUAUAUGUACUAUAAAAUAAUUUAAAAUAAAUAUCAUACAGCCUGGGAAAUUUCAUUUAUAUUUCAUGAGAAUUUGAAAUCUUUGUAGAAGAAACAGAUCCUGAAAGUUAUCUGAGAUACGAAAACGUUUAUUUCACAGACAAAUGCAACGUGGAUGGAACAAAUCAAAUUAAAGUACGAAGGAAAAAUAGCGUAUACUUAGUAUCUAUUAAACACAGAUAAACAUAGAUCUUUACGAUCCAAGUCGCUUUAAGGUUAAAUAGAAACGCAUAAAUCAAGGAAGAGACAAAAAGAGAAGGAAUUUACAGCUUUAUAAUGCAAAUUAAUAGCUCUUCCAAGCAUUGUUAUCGAAGAGAAUAAUGAGCCUUGUUUUAGACAAUUAAGGGAAGAAGAACGUAGAAACUGGCCACGUAAGAUUUGCAUUUGAGAAAGGUGGUAAUUAUUUGCAACGGAAUAACGCAAUUAUCAAAUUGACCCUCGCACCCUCACAUAAUUACUCGCGACUUCAGGAUUUAAGUGGAUAAUCAUUGGGAAUCGGCGAACUGUUCGUUGAACGUUGAAAUUUGGCAAGCGUCAGAAUGUGGGGCGCCAGGUCGUCAAUGCGUACCAUGUAAUUUAUGUUGAAUGUAUCUGUUGCUUUCAAAUCUUUACGUAUAUUUUAAUUACACCUAUACGUAAUUUCAAGACAAGUGUACAUUUUUCACUUUCAAGAUGUUAUUUAAUAUUAAUUGGUCGUUAUUAAAACAAAGUAUCGGAGAUUAAGGUUACCGAUGAGCGAAAAUUGACAGAGUUGGUGUAGUGGCAGCAACCUAACAGUAGGAGGAAAAUGAAAUUUUACUCUCAAUCAGAGAGCCACUCGAUCACACAGGAGGGUGCCAUAUUGUUACGUUCUAACCAUUCUCUCUUCUUCUUUAUUUCUUUUUUCUUCCAUAAUCUUUUCCUCUGGUUUGGAUCAACUGUUGUUUUACGAGGACUCUUUAGCCUCGGCAGACGGCCCAUUGUAUCGCUUAUUUCAAUGCGCAGAUUGUUUUCAAAAAGAAAGCACGAUUGUUUCAUCUUUUUCUUUUUUUUUUUUAGCUUCCUCCUCUUUGAUGUUCUGCUAUUUACCGAUAGUAGCGUAUCGAAUGUACGGCUAUUAAGAGUCUAUGAAAUUGUUAAUGAAAGUUUUAGGAAGGAAAUGCACGAAAUCCUAACUUUCAGCGAGAAUCGUGAGACACUUUGUUCUUUAACAUCUUGCGAGACAGUUGCGCGAUGGUCAUUUCUGAAAUUUUUUCAAUUUCUGCUGUUUGUCGUUUACGUUUCGAGAAAUUCUUCAACGAAAUGGUGGUACAAAUCGUUUUUCCCAGUCGUAAUACGAAUCACUGGGAUGGUUCGGGCCACCAUGAUUUCGAAGCUAUUUUCUACGUGGGUCGUUCGAGGCUUCUGGAAAUCAAUUUUUCCCCUCUGGCGCCAAUUAACCAGAAUUUUCUCAACUUCGACGUAGGUCCUUUGGUGCAUGGUAGUUUCAAUCUUUAACUUUGGGAAAGUUAAUCGCUCCUUCCGUUUUUCUUUUUCCUCGCUUCAGUUCAGCCAAUGUAAUUUGUCGAAUUCAUUCUCAUGUCCACAUGAUCUAUUAUCGUAUCAACGACGAAAAAACGCAUUAAAACAAUGCAUUUUCUCUUUAGUUAUUUCGUACUUGAAAUAUUUUUGAAAUAAAUGCUUCGUUUACUUUUAUUUUUCAUAUUAUCUUUUAUUUUCCAAAGUCUGCUUCAAUAGAUAUAGCAGAGUAAUGAUAUCAUAAAUCUUAAUGAAGCAAAGUUAUUAGUAGACACAUUCGUAGAAGCAUCGUGAAUUUAUCUGAAGUUUCUAAUUUGGCCUUCCAUUCAAUACGAUGGGAAGAAUAUAAUCGGCUUAUAUACAUUUAGUUGACUGAAUCCAGGAAAAUGUGCCUACUAUCUUUUUCUCUUUCUACCUAUUUAUCUCCUUUUGAACAAAUUGAUGCACAGUCGUCGCGACGAGACGAGAGUCGCACAAAAGCUUAAAAUCACGAUAGACCGUGGAUACCGGCUAGUUAGGAGAGUUUUGAUGAAUCCUAAUCUUGUGAAAUAUAUGCGUGAAUAACGAGCCACGACGGCCAUGGUGCGUUUGAAUUAAAACAUAUUAUCCUUGUCUAUCCUACCAACUAAUAUCUACUAAAUGGCGACUAAUACCAAUCCUAUUCAUUUGGAUAAUAUGCUUCAAUGUGACGUUUACUUUUAUAUACUAGAAUGUCAUAAUCUGACGCUAUCCACGCAGCUUCAUCAUCUUUUAAAUCUUUGUAAAACGAAAAAAUUCGUUUCUUUUUCCGUUCGAUUGUUCCUUCCAUGUUCUGUUUAACGUUAACUAAUUAGAUUAUAAUUGGAAUAUUUAUAUAACUUAACUUAAUUUAAUUUAACUUAAUUUAUAUAACUUAAACGCGAUCGUAGUAUAUGAUAUGAUAAAAAAUAAAAAAGCAAAAGUGUUGGUAGUUCGGUUUCAGCCGAAAGUCGUGGGAACCGUUUUGAUAGAAUAGGAGAACGGACGACGUAAGAAGGUAGGAGAAGGAAACGAAGAAUCUUGGUGGAAGAUACAAAAGGGAAAAGAGAAGAAAGGAAAGGAAGGUAAAGCCGAGCAAAGUUUGAACGAUGGGAUGAGAUCGUUGGUUCUGAUUCCAAGCAAAAAUUCGUGAUACAAUGCGAGCGUUUUCAUUCCAAAUAACGUAAAUUCAAUGUACAUUCUGUUUUAUUUACGAACUUCGAUUAACGACAUAUCGCGUUGUCUACUAACUACUUGUUCUCUACAACCUGCUUACUCGCAACGUUAAACAAAAUUAUAAUUACAAUAAAAUUACAGUUGUUUAUUCGGAGAAGCAUAGAAAUUUCAAAUAAUAAUCCUAAAAUUGUACAAUUAUAACGCUACAACAGAAUUCCUGUCCAAUUUACUAAAUAUUACGAUAUAAUUUUCGAUCGCGUCAAAUUAUAAAUAUUUUUAUAUCAACGUUCACUCUCCCUCUCCUUCAUAGUUAUUUUCAAUACUCGUAGAUACAUCGCUUGUCCAGAUACUUUUACUUGUUGCAUUUUAAAUACAGGAAACCGCUUAUGCAACGAUCGCAAUGUUCAAGAAAGGACGAAUACCGUGUACGUCUUUAGAUCUGUUGUGUUCUCGUCAUCAGCAAGACCUUUCGAUGCGCGAUAAUUGGAGUCCCGAGAGGAAAGUAUUCUUUCUCGUUCCUUGUCGGCUGUAGUUGUUCGUAGUAAUUUAGCAGGUAGCGGGACCGCACGUUUCUACGUGGCCAUGUUCACCCUCUGUCCUCGGCUCUCUCUUGGACGCCCUCCAACACCCUUUCUACCCAUUCCGCGUGUAUUUAAAAGCGUUUAAGGGUGCCCUCCAAUCUCAAGUGCUCUUCGCCGGAUACACAAUGGUUCUUGCGUAUUAUUUGUUGGUGAAAUAACAUGCUGUCAGUUAUGGGGGAUAUGCUAAAUAUAUAGGGUACGGCUAGAAAUUCGAAGGAGAAUCGAUCGAACUCGUCCUGGUGCUCGAGUGUUGUGCUUCGAGUCACGUUGAACCGGCGCGUUCACGUUUCAGAAGAUUUUUAUAUCGAACGAUUCUUUCAAGAGAAUCCGCAUCAACAUGGCUAUGGUUGCAUUUCGGGCACACGUAUUCAUGGAUCACAGAUUCGAAUUUUUCUCUUCCUCUUCGUCUUUAUUCUUAAGUUGUCAAUUUGUAUCGUCGAGAAGAUACGGAAGAUUCUGUCGAUCUUUCGAUUUCUUUAUUUUCUUUCCCGGUAUUUAACGAUAAAAUGAAUUCGAAGUAGCAAGGUAAGAAUUUUCCUCUUGGUAAAACGAAUUCGAUUUAUUUUUAUUUUAAUGAUUAUACGUAUUCUUCUAUUUUAGCGAUUUGCAAUUUAUUCAUUUGUAUACUUUUGCUGCACAAGCUAUGGCAGGUACGUAUAUGGAUGUCUAAACGGCUGAUCAAACGCCGAUCAAGAAUUUCAGAGUUAUAAAUUUACUCUUGCUCAAGGUUAAUCAGUCUUCCGAAAACAAACAGUUCCGCCUCUUCGUUAAUUCGUGUAUGCUCUCGAAACGAUAAUCAAAUAACGCCGAAUCGAUCGGACACAGGAUACACGUAAUUAAAGAGUAUGUAAUUAUGGACUUUAUCGAAGACGAGCGGUAUUAAGUUAUUAGUUAUUAAUUGCUUUAUUAGAUUAAGCGACCGAAGAUGCGUCGAGAGGCGGAGAAUCGGUGGUAUAAAUUCGCCGUAAUCGUUUCCUUCCUCCGCCUUUAAAUCGAUUAAUAGUACAAAUAGAAACAAUAAAUCAUAUUUUAGUAGAAUACCAAUUAAUUCCUAUAGAUUGAAAUAAACUUUACUAUAACAAAAAAAAUAUAUGUACAUAUAUAACAAUUUAAGUUUACAGCUAUAAGCUCAACUAAAUAAUUUUUAUUUUGAGAAUUUUUACGACGAGUUUAGUUGUCUAAAGUAUCGUUAAUUCGGUAAAAAAUCCGUAUAACUAAGUUCACUCGAGCAAGCUUUUGAAUUACGAAUGACUUAAUCUUUAAUACUUUAACUGACAGCCAAAAUAUACGCAGUUAGUUACUAUUACCGACCUUUUUCUUGUUUUAUACAAUUUCCGUACGCAAUAAGAGGGAACCGUAUCUUGUUAAAGUCCAAUCCAGUUAACAUUACGGCCUGGUCUGCUAUCAUCAGAUUACAAUGUAAAGAUACUAAAGGUGGUAAAACGCUGACAGGGUCACGAAACGUGUAUUGUGAAUUCCUUUAGAGUCGUAACGAGUUGCAAGCGUGGGCGGACGUAAGUGCGAGACACGCUUCACCUUCUACUCUGACGGGAUAAUUUUCUCUUCUGGCUUAUCCCUUCUUCACCGUCCAUAUCAUUCGUUCAUCCUUCCAGAGGCAUCGUAUAAAAGUAGGUAGUCUGAUUGCCUAAACCGACGUUUUAUUUUUACUACAACUCCGAUUCGUUUCUCUCGGCGAUAAUAACGAUAGAACGCCGAUCAUGUGCGUGAACAAUUAUUUAUCGCGUUUCUGUCUAUCGGCCAGCGUCAAAUUGUGUCGAAUCUUUCACGGAAUUCUUCCGUUUCCUUUCAAUAUCUUCGAAACGUGCAUUUAUUUUAGAAAUUAUAAAUGCAAGCAAGAUCGUCGAAUAAACGUUACGUCUCUGUUGUUACCAACACCAAAAUGUUAUUUGAUUUGUGGCCGAGAAAGAGUCGUUCGUCUGUAAUAAGCGUACCGCCUCUUCCUCAAUAUAUUUGUCUUGAUGGCUCAAUGCGCACGUGACCGCUCGAGAGCGGCAUGACUUUACAAUACGACCCUCGAAACGGUUAUAGCUGUACCAGCGAUGAGAACGUAAAAGGCUGUAAAAACAUUCUGGUAACCGGUAGAAUAAUUCGAAAAGCAGAAUGAACGACGAUCGCGUAAAAUUAAGCGUCCCGUUUUACUUCGUUACACGCCUCUUGUCCACCAACGUUGGCUUUCAGGCGCAACAAGCGAACGCGUUCGAUGUUGAAAAAAUUCCGGAAACAACUUUCAGUUCUGCACUUUUGUUUCAUUUUAUAGAAAAAGAAGUUACGAAAGAGAAACUAUUUUUUUCUGUCUUCUUUCCUAUGAUUUCACUUUUCUUUUCUUUUCCUUCGAUAAAAAGCGCAUAGCUGGUAUCGGACACUUGCGGGACGCUUGCGAGGCGUGUAAUUCUUUCGUGUUACACGCAGACGAUUUCACCGCAGUCAUCCGCUCCUCGUCCGUGUGUCGUUUUAGUAAGUAGCGGUAAGCUUGUCGGUCUGAGAUCGUCCGAAGAUAGGAUCAAAAGAGGUGAGAGGACCACCCGGUCUAUUUAGAAUAUGAAGAACCAUGACAUUGGUGUCAGAUGUCUCAUGGAGAAUGUUGACACCUGUAAGCGCUGUUGGAACAUUGGAAUCAGUGGCAGGUUGUAAUAGCAGCUUGAACACGACUGUUGAUACAAUACGUUCGAUAUUUACCACUUUCCACAUUUACCAUUUUUCCACUUUUUCGUUUAAUCGCAUAGGAAUUACAUUUUACGACAAUUUUUAUUAUUAUUACAAUUUAAUACACGUAAAAAAAAAAAAAAAAUAACGGAGCUAGAAAUUCUUAAUGGUUCAAAAAAUGGUUCUAGAUGCAGAUAAGGCAUCGUUAAAAAUUAGUGGAAAUCGUUAUCGUCUCCAGAAAUUAAUCAGUGAGAAAGAUCGUUCGAAAUGGCGUUAUAAAUAAAUCGGCCUAUUAGAAUCGCGUGGAACUUCGUACGAAGACGAUAACAAUCGCUACGAGCUUUCGAGGAUAUGCUUUCCGUGAAUAGAGCAGAAACUUACUAAUGAAGAAGGAGCAAAAGUACAACUAAGGCGAAGCUUAGUAAAUCUUAUCGCGAACCGUCAUCCUCUCAUUGACUAUGCAUUCCCAGAGGAAGGCCGUGAAUUUUGCCUCGGUGUGUUUCAGCUAACUGGAAUAUCUCACUAGAAGAGGUUCUCGAUACAUCGAAAUCGAAUCGAUCCGCUUUUGAUCUUCGAAUUAUCGUGGUGGACGAAUGAUAGCGUGAUUUGGCAUAAUCACGAGCAUUAGUAGUGAAAAUAUAGUUGCACCUAUUACAAGGAUUUGCAGGUAAAGGGUAGUGAGAAGGUGGGCCAACAGGGCAGGGUGAAUAAGGCGCUCGAGCCUACGCGGGUCGCUUUUUCGAGGGAGGACGAGCCAUAUGGGGAGCAUACGGUAAGCAGGCUGCUGCACCCGCUGCCUCGAGGGUUUAAUCUACCUACCGUCCGCCAAAUUACCAUCCGAGGAAAUCGUGUAUCCUCGAAAGAUCGCUGUGACGACGUUUCCGUUAUUACUGACUUUACUGCAUAAGAAUAGGUAUCACGAGGCCCAUUAGUUUAGUAAAAGAACACUCGACUUUAUUUCUACUUAUCGAUACGCUAUAUGUCCAUUCGUGGAUUUAAAAUUUGUUUACAGGUGAAAUAAAGUCCGGUCCGUUCUUGUAAAAUACGGCAAAACAUAAGAAAUACCGCGUUUCGUCGUUGUUGUUGUCUUUAUAUUAUGGCUCCGUGUAAAGACUUGGCUUUUUUAAUUUAAUUCUUUCGGUUUUCGUCGAAGAAAAGCAGACACUGUCUAGUAGACAUUCCCGGGUUUUGUCUCUCGCUUGCCAACUGUCCCAGGUGUACGUGUCUGAGGAUGAAGGCAAAAGGCCCAAGAAGACUCGAGGCGUGUGGCUGGCGCGUGCUGCUAGUCCCCGAUUCCGUUUCCCCGCCCUUAAGUUGCUUCCGAUCGUUGUCUGCCAUAAUCAGCAUCACCACUGCUGCCGCCACCACCACCUCAACAGCUACGGUCACGCUUUUUAAAUACGCGAAGCGAGCUUUCAUGCCUUCAUACCCACGGAAAUCGUAUCGUAUUUCCUCCCUUUUUUUCUUAUUUCGUUCUUAUUUUCUUCGUUCUCCAAGCCUUAUUAUUCGUCAUAAUCACAAUUCCCCGAUUAUUUCGUUCGUAAAAUCUAUUAAACAAUUUUUUUUGGUUUUAUAUCGAAGAUGUUUCGAUCGAAUGCUUAUAUUCUACACGUCGAUAUUCGUUGACAUAUUUCUCGGAAUAUUAGUUUGAUAGAUUUUAUGGGGAAAGUGAAUGGAAUAAACCGAUGGUAAGAAAAAUAGAAUCGUCGUUGAUUGCUUUGACGAAACUGUUUAUGAAUAACAGAAGUGGAAAUUUGUGUUAUUCAUGCUCGAACAUUAUUAUGGAAAUUUGAAAUGUAAGUUGUUUGUUCCUUUCGGCGGUAAAUUUGCAUAAACACGGUGAUUUUCGAACCAACCAGAAGAUGAUAUAACGCUAAUUUGCAACUUUUAACUAUUCACUUUUCACCGUCACGAAUAUUUUUCUCCUCUAAGCUAUUCUAUCCGAAAUACCUUAUUUAACGUAAAAUUCGUUAUCGUCGCGAAUUAAUUAAAAAUAUCCCGAUACACGUAACUACUGUAGUAACAUCUAUCGAUAUAAUAAUAUUCGUAUGGAAAGGUAAAGCCUUUUGUCAAUUUUCAAAAACAGACCUGCCAUUGUGAAACGUUGUUAGGUAAAAUGGAUUUCUUAAAAUAUUGAGGGAAAAAAGAAAAUAGGAGGAAUAGACGGUGAAGAAAAGAGAAGAAAGGUACACGUUUUAAGUACUAAUUUGUAACAUUCUGAAAGUUUGCAAGAAUGAAUUGUAUGGCACGCGAGGCUAUACGCCAACGUUUUUUUCCAUCUGACACGGUAGAUUAUUGGCAAGAGCGGCUUCUUUGAUAAUACCUAAGGCGCGUUAGCAUUUCUAUGGCGUUGAAUUGCUUUGGUCCGUUUUACUGAAGCGCCAAAAAUCGUUGGUAUCGCGUCACCAUUGUGUUACGUUUGUUGGACACGUUGGCCUGUUUAACCAUUUAUCUCGUCAUUGACGUUAAUCAGAGCGAUUUCGGCUUCGGCAGAGAUCUUUUGCCAAGGAUCCAUAUAAUUUGGUUUGUCACGCUUAUACGUAGUAUGAUCGAUGCACGUGUACAUGUGAACAGAGUAUCUUAUAUUCCUAUUUAGUGAUAUAAAUAUACCGAGAUAUUAUUCUAAUUAAUUUCCUAAUAAUCUGUUCGAUAACGAAUUUAUCCUAGUCACUCGCCUUGCUUCUUUUCUUCAUCGACGUUUUCCAAAUUUUUAAUACAUUUUUAAUCGCCGAUUCUUCCUUGCUACUUAAUCUUCUACUAAAAACCGUGACUGCCCUUCGGUAUAAUUAUUAAGUAUUCUCCAAAACCUGGAAACCAGGUUACCCAUCGCAACGAUUUUAAUCUAAAAACGAGGGUUUUAUGGGCUCAGAUGAAGCUGGGCAUAGAUAUAUGCUACGGAAAUAGAUACCAUGAAAUCCCAUAGGAUCCAAAUAGCGUUCCCUUUGCGUUUUAUCUACGUUUAGGGAUAAAAUCCGUUUUUAGGGAAGGAAAUUUGACAAACAGUCGAAGGGGCGGUAACGUGAAAAUAUAUUUUUCUAUAAACUAUUGUUUCUUUCGAAUGGUCCGAUCUGGUUCACCCGUGCGAUAGCGGGCAUUCUAUUGUAAUUCUAUAGUAAUAUGCUGAUAUUGUUUAGAGUAAUUUUCUUAAUAUAUUAUUCCGAUCGUAUCGAUAGAAUAUAUUUUAAUAAUGUUAUUGAAAUCUAUGUAAAUUUCAGUCUAUCGUAAUUUCAUAAUUUUCAUACUGGACAAAAUUAUAUAUAAUAAAAGAUUAAGUAAUUAAAAUUGAUCGUAACACACUUUACUGCUAUUAUGCGAAUCUAACGUAACAUAAAUACGAUAAUCUUAGGUAGUAAACGGUGCAUUCCAUUCAUCUCGUAUCGAAUCUUUGAAAACUACUGUAAAGUAAUGUUUUUAUAUUCAGGACCACACAGGUAGCCGAAGCAUAUUAACUUCUGCAUGCAGAUUCUACCAACAAUCAAUGGUAACGCUAUAUUCAAUUUUUAUACUGAAUAUUAAGCAGCAUCGUAUCAUGUUACCGGUAACUGGUUCAAUCCUUGUCCGAAUUUUAUAUUCUCACGAUCAAAGCUAGCAAAGACAAUUACGAUGUUCUUAAUCAUAUUUAUCAAUUUGAAAUUAUCGACCAUAUUCGAAUUUACAAUGUCGAUUUCUAUAUAUUACUAUAUCGUUUAAACAUAUAGACAUAAGGUUCUCGUCUAUAUGUAAUAUGUAUAGUCUUUGCUCCACUACUCUGUAUUUUCUUUUUCUUUCUUCUUCUUUUUUUUUCGUUCAGAGAUUCAACGGAGUUCAGGUAUCCGGCGCGUAGAAAAAUUUUAACGCGUUUACGACUGGCCGUCACGGCGGAAAAUCCUUUGAAACAUCGACUGUCGUAAUUACGAGCGACUUAUAACAGUGUGGUAACCCCUUCAUUUGUGAACUAUGAUAAACUGUUGCUCAUCUACGGUUCCGAGAUUUGCCUCCAUGAUUUAUGCUAAUACAAUGGACCUACCUCAAAGUAUCUUCUACUAAACGCUCUAUUAGGCUUAAGUUAAUUACGAGACUACCUUCUUGUGGGUUGGCUCGACGCGAUCGUUACCAUAUUACGGUACAUAUAUUACGUCCUUAACGAUGCCAACCGCUUUUGCAUUAAAUUUGGACAAGCGACGAUCACAAAAAGCAUAGGAGAUUUUUUUUUGUUACUGUCAACGCGUUUAUAUCUGUCGAGGUUGACUGAUAGAGGAACGAGUGGAUGAAUUUGUAAUAGAAAAAUAUAUUGAAAUAAGUAUAAGUACAGGUAUAGCGCAUGCUGAUCUAGAUUUUCACUUUUUCAA
Molecule: long non-coding RNA, 10817 nt
Organism: Bombus terrestris (buff-tailed bumblebee)
Lineage: Eukaryota; Metazoa; Arthropoda; Insecta; Hymenoptera; Apidae
Exons: 5
Source: RefSeq, a predicted model, not a curated record